This 254-nucleotide ribosomal RNA is filed under the name uncultured bacterium. RNAcentral's name for it is "partial 16S ribosomal RNA". It matches the Rfam family "Bacterial small subunit ribosomal RNA", at positions 524 to 776 of the family's 1533-position model. The record is from RNAcentral.
UACGUAGGGGGCAAGCGUUGUCCGGAUUUAUUGGGCGUAAAGAGCGUGUAGGCGGUUUGGUAGGUCCGCUGUGAAAACUCGAGGCUCAACCUCGAGACGCCGGUGGAAACCAUCAGACUAGAGUCCGGAAGAGGAGAGUGGAAUUCCUGGUGUAGCGGUGAAAUGCGCAGAUAUCAGGAGGAACACCGGUGGCGAAGGCGGGUCUCUGGGCCGAUACUGACGCUGGAGGAGCGAAAGCGUGGGGAGCGAACAGG